GGGGAUAUAGCUCAGUUGAUAGAGGGCUUGCUUUGCAUGCACAAGGCGCUGGGUUCAAUUCCCAGCCCCA
RNAcentral lists this transfer RNA (70 nucleotides) under Ictidomys tridecemlineatus (thirteen-lined ground squirrel). RNAcentral's name for it is "Spermophilus tridecemlineatus (thirteen-lined ground squirrel) tRNA". It matches the Rfam family "tRNA". From Rfam's summary of the family: Transfer RNA (tRNA) molecules are approximately 80 nucleotides in length. The record is from Rfam by way of RNAcentral. Lineage: Eukaryota; Metazoa; Chordata; Mammalia; Rodentia; Sciuridae.